This 423-nucleotide ribosomal RNA is filed under the name uncultured bacterium. Its description in RNAcentral is "bacterial SSU rRNA". It matches the Rfam family "Bacterial small subunit ribosomal RNA", at positions 358 to 773 of the family's 1533-position model. The record is from RNAcentral.
GGAAUAUUGCACAAUGGGGGCAACCCUGAUGCAGCCAUGCCGCGUGUGUGAAGAAGGCCUUCGGGUUGUAAAGCACUUUCAGUUGAGAGGAAAGGUUGAUGGUUAAUACCCAUUAGCUGUGACGUUAGCAACAGAAGAAGGACCGGAUAACUCCGUUCCGGCAGCCGCGGUAAUACGGAGGGUCCGAGCGUUAAUCGGAAUUACUGGGGGUAAAGCGCACGCAGGCGGGUUGUUAAGCUAGAUGUGAAAGCCCCGGGCUCAACCUGGGAAUUGCAUUUAGAACUGGCAGGCUAGAGUCUUGGAGAGGGGAGUGGAAUUCCAGGUGUAGCGGUGAAAUGCGUAGAUAUCUGGAGGAACAUCAGUGGCGAAGGCGACUCCCUGGCCAAAGACUGACGCUCAUGUGCGAAAGUGUGGGUAGCGAAC